RNAcentral lists this ribosomal RNA (582 nucleotides) under Pantoea agglomerans. RNAcentral describes it as "bacterial SSU rRNA". It matches the Rfam family "Bacterial small subunit ribosomal RNA", at positions 875 to 1457 of the family's 1533-position model. Lineage: Bacteria; Pseudomonadati; Pseudomonadota; Gammaproteobacteria; Enterobacterales; Erwiniaceae. The record is from RNAcentral.
GGGGAGUACGGCCGCAAGGUUAAAACUCAAAUGAAUUGACGGGGGCCCGCACAAGCGGUGGAGCAUGUGGUUUAAUUCGAUGCAACGCGAAGAACCUUACCUACUCUUGACAUCCACGGAAUUCGGCAGAGAUGCCUUAGUGCCUUCGGGAACCGUGAGACAGGUGCUGCAUGGCUGUCGUCAGCUCGUGUUGUGAAAUGUUGGGUUAAGUCCCGCAACGAGCGCAACCCUUAUCCUUUGUUGCCAGCGAUUCGGUCGGGAACUCAAAGGAGACUGCCGGUGAUAAACCGGAGGAAGGUGGGGAUGACGUCAAGUCAUCAUGGCCCUUACGAGUAGGGCUACACACGUGCUACAAUGGCGCAUACAAAGAGAAGCGACCUCGCGAGAGCAAGCGGACCUCACAAAGUGCGUCGUAGUCCGGAUCGGAGUCUGCAACUCGACUCCGUGAAGUCGGAAUCGCUAGUAAUCGUGGAUCAGAAUGCCACGGUGAAUACGUUCCCGGGCCUUGUACACACCGCCCGUCACACCAUGGGAGUGGGUUGCAAAAGAAGUAGGUAGCUUAACCUUCGGGAGGGCGCUACC